UUGGAGGGCAAGUCUGGUGCCAGCAGCCGCGGUAAUUCCAGCUCCAAUAGCGUAUAUUAAAGUUGUUGCAGUUAAAAAGCUCGUAGUUGAAUUUCGGGAUCAGAUUGUUGGUCGUGCCUCGGUACGUACUGGCAUUAUUGGUUCCUACCUUCUGAAGAACCGCGAUGUCAUUAAUUUGGUGUUGUGGGGAAUCAGGACUGUUACUUUGAAAAAAUUAGAGUGUUUAAAGCAGGCGCACGCUUGAAUACAUUAGCAUGGAAUAAUGAAAUAGGACGUUUGAUCCUAUUUUGUUGGUUUCUAGGAUUGACGUAAUGAUUAGUAGGGAUAGUUGGGGGCAUUAGUAUUCAAUUGUCAGAGGUGAAAUUCUUGGAUUUAUUGAAGACUAACUACUGCGAAAGCAUUUGCCAAGGAUGUUUUCAUUAAUCAAGAACGAAAGUUAGGGGAUCGAAGACGAUCAGAUACCGUCGUAGUCUUAACCAUAAACUAUGCCGACUAGGGAUCGGAUGAUGUUAAUUUUUUAAUGACUCAUUCGGCGCCUUACGGGAAACCAAAGUGUUUGGGUUC
RNAcentral lists this ribosomal RNA (564 nucleotides) under uncultured Glomeromycotina. RNAcentral describes it as "SSU rRNA". It matches the Rfam family "Eukaryotic small subunit ribosomal RNA", at positions 548 to 1114 of the family's 1831-position model. The record is from RNAcentral. Lineage: Eukaryota; Fungi; Glomeromycota.